GGGGGGGAGGGGGGCCGGCCCUAAAGAGUGCAGGUCGAGCGCAUGACGAGGAGCUUGCUCCUCUGAUUGAGCGGCGGACGGGUGAGUAACACGUGGGCAACCUGCCCUGUAGACGGGGAUAACUUCGGGAAACCGGAGCUAAUACCGGAUAAUCCUCUUCCCCACAUGGGGAAGAGUUGAAAGGCGCUUUCGCGUCACUACAGGAUGGGCCCGCGGUGCAUUAGCUAGUUGGUGGGGUAACGGCCUACCAAGGCGACGAUGCAUAGCCGACCUGAGAGGGUGAUCGGCCACAUUGGGACUGAGACACGGCCCAAACUCCUACGGGAGGCAGCAGUAGGGAAUCUUCCACAAUGGACGAAAGUCUGAUGGAGCAACGCCGCGUGAGUGAUGAAGGUUUUCGGAUCGUAAAACUCUGUUGUAAGGGAAGAACCAGUACGUCAGGCAAUGGACGUACCUUGACGGUACCUUAUUAGAAAGCCACGGCUAACUACGUGCCAGCAGCCGCGGUAAUACGUAGGUGGCAAGCGUUGUCCGGAAUUAUUGGGCGUAAAGCGCGCGCAGGUGGUUUCUUAAGUCUGAUGUGAAAGCCCACGGCUUAACCGUGGAGGGUCAUUGGAAACUGGGAGACUUGAGUGCAGAAGAGGAAAGUGGAAUUCCAAGUGUAGCGGUGAAAAUGCGUAGAGAUUUGGAGGAACACCAGUGGCGAAGGCGACUUUCUGGUCUGCAACUGACGCUGAGGCGCGAAAGCAUGGGGAGCAAACAGGAUUAGAUACCCUGGUAGUCCAUGCCGUAAACGAUGAGUGCUAAGUGUUAGGGGGUUUCCGCCCCUUAGUGCUGCAGCUAACGCAUUAAGCACUCCGCCUGGGGAGUACGACCGCAAGGUUGAAACUCAAGGAAUUGACGGGGCCCGCACAAGCGGUGGAGCAUGUGGUUUAUUUCGAAGCAACGCGAAGAACCUUACCAGGUCUUGACAUCCCGAUGACCGCUCUAGAGAUAGAGUUUUCCCUUCCGGGGACAUUGGUUGACAGGUGGUUGCAUGGUGUCGUCAGCUCGUGUUCGUGAGAUUGUUUGGGUUUAAGUCCGCAACCGAGCGCCAACCUAAAUCCUAAUUUGCCAUCAUUCAGGUGGGCCACCUCUAAGGUGACUGCCGGGUGAAUAACGGAGAAGGUGAGGAAUGACGUCAAUUCAAUUCCGAUGUCCUCGCCCCUUAAUGA
Molecule: ribosomal RNA, 1214 nt
Filed under: Rummeliibacillus suwonensis
Lineage: Bacteria; Bacillati; Bacillota; Bacilli; Caryophanales; Caryophanaceae
Description: bacterial SSU rRNA
Rfam family: Bacterial small subunit ribosomal RNA
Source: RNAcentral